Molecule: ribosomal RNA, 734 nt
Filed under: Bacillus subtilis
Lineage: Bacteria; Bacillati; Bacillota; Bacilli; Caryophanales; Bacillaceae
Description: bacterial SSU rRNA
Rfam family: Bacterial small subunit ribosomal RNA
Source: RNAcentral
AUGGGAGCUUGCUCCCUGAUGUUAGCGGCGGACGGGUGAGUAACACGUGGGUAACCUGCCUGUAAGACUGGGAUAACUCCGGGAAACCGGGGCUAAUACCGGAUGCUUGUUUGAACCGCAUGGUUCAAACAUAAAAGGUGGCUUCGGCUACCACUUACAGAUGGACCCGCGGCGCAUUAUCUAGUUGGUGAGGUAAUGGCUCACCAAGGCGACGAUGCGUAUCCGACCUGAGAGGGUGAUCGGCCACACUGGGACUGAGACACGGCCCAGACUCCUACGGGAGGCAGCAGUAGGGAAUCUUCCGCAAUGGACGAAAGUCUGACGGAGCAACGCCGCGUGAGUGAUGAAGGUUUUCGGAUCGUAAAGCUCUGUUGUUAGGGAAGAACAAGUACCGUUCGAAUAGGGCGGUACCUUGACGGUACCUAACCAGAAAGCCACGGCUAACUACGUGCCACCAGCCGCGGUAAUACGUAUGUGGCAAGCGUUGUCCGGAAUUAUUGGGCGUAAAGGGCUCGCAGGCGGUUUCUUAAGUCUGAUGUGAAAGCCCCCGGCUCAACCGGGGAGGGUCAUUGUAAACUGGGGAACUUGAGUGCACAAAAGGAGAGUGGAAUUCCACGUGUAUCGGUGAAAUGCGUAUAGAUGUGGAGGAACACCAGUGGCGAAAGCGACUCUCUGGUCUGUAACUGACACUGAGGAGCGAAAGCGUGUGGAGCGAACAGGAUUAUAUACCCUGG